GGGCCCGCACAAGCGGUGGAGCAUGUGGUUUAAUUCGAUGAUACGCGAGGAACCUUACCAGGGCUUAAAUGUAGUCUGACAGGGGUGGAAACACCCCCUCCUUCGGGCAGAUUACAAGGUGCUGCAUGGUUGUCGUCAGCUCGUGCCGUGAGUGUCAGGUUAAGUCCUAUAACGAGCGCAACCCCUGCCGUUAGUUGCCAGCAUGUAAUGAUGGGAACUCUAACGGGACUGCCGGUGCAAACCGCGAGGAAGGUGGGGGAUGACGUCAAAUCAUCACGGCCCUUACGUCCUGGGCUACACACGUGCUACAAUGGCCGGUACAGAGGGCAGCCACACCGCAAGGUG
This 345-nucleotide ribosomal RNA is filed under the name uncultured bacterium. Its description in RNAcentral is "bacterial SSU rRNA". It matches the Rfam family "Bacterial small subunit ribosomal RNA", at positions 917 to 1264 of the family's 1533-position model. The record is from RNAcentral.